This is an RNA transcript of Carlito syrichta (Philippine tarsier), 2970 nucleotides long. It is a transcript of the gene named atrophin-1 pseudogene, with no coding region annotated. The transcript has a single exon. NCBI's taxonomy places the organism in Eukaryota, Metazoa, Chordata, Mammalia, Primates, Tarsiidae. The record is from RefSeq and is a predicted model, not a curated record.
AUGAAGACACGACACAAUAAAGACUUAAUGUCAAUGAGGAGUGGACGGAAGAAAGAGGCCCCUGGGCCCCGGGAAGAGCUGAGAUGGAGGGGCCAGGCCUCCCCUGGAGGGGUCAGCACCUCCAGCAGCGAGGGCAAAGUCGAGAAGUCCAGGCAGAUGGCCAAGAAGGCCCAAGUAGAGGAAGCCUCCGCCCCAAAGGUUAGUAAGCAGGGACAGAGUGAAGAGAUCUCGGAAAGUGAAAGUGAGGAGACCAGUGCACCCAGGAAGCCCAAAGCUGAGCAGGAGCUCCCCCGGCCGCAGUCUCCCUCGGACCUGGACAGCUUGGACAGGCGGAGCCUCAACGAUGAUGGCAGCACCGACCCCAGGGAUAUCGACCAGGACAACUGGAGCAGGUCCCCUAGCAUCUACAGCCCCGGCAGCCUGGAGAAUGACUCUGACUCCUCUUCCGGCCUGUCCCAGGGCCCAGCCCUCCCCUACCACCCACCUCUGCUGUUUCCUCCCUCCCCUCUACCACCAGACAGCACCCCUCGACAGCCAGAGCCUGGCUUUGUACCCCAUCUUCCUGUGACACCCACUGGAUAUCAUGCUCUCAUGGAGCCCUCCACUUGAAUGUUCCAGGCUCUGCCUGGAGCCCCUUUCCUCACCCGCAGCUCUACCUUGGGGGCCGCGGGGGGCGGUGGAGGAGUUUUGUCCAGGAGCUCCAGUAGGUUCCAAGGCAGGAGGGGCUGCCUCAUCAGUGGGGGCCUCCGGGGGGAGGUAAGCAGCACCCUCCACCCACUAUCCCCAUUUCAAUACCAAGCUCUGGGGCUGGUGGCGCUUCCCCAACAAAGCCACAGAACACUCCAGUGGGUGGCGGGAGCCUGCCUUCUGCUCCAUCACCAGCCACCUUCCUCCAUGUGACACCGAACUUGCCUCCCCCACCUGUCCUGAGACCCCUUAACAACGCAUCAGCUUCUCCUGACUUGGGGGCCCAGUCGCUACCUGGGCAUCUGCCCUGUCCCCAUGCCAUGGGGCAGGCUAUGGGCGGACUUCCGGCCCAGAGAAGGGCCCGACUCUGGCCCCCUCACCCCACUCUCUGCCCCCCACUUCCUCCUCUUUUGUCCCAGCGCCCCCAAUGAGAUAUCCCUAUUCAAUCUAGCAGUAGCUCUGCAGCUACCUACUCUUCCAGCUCUUCUGCCGCCGCCGCCGCCGCCCAGUACCCAGCUUCCCAGGCGCUGCCCAGUUAUCCUUUUUCCCUCCCCCGGCAAACCUCUCCGUCUCCAACCAGCCCCCCAAGUACACCCAGCCUUCUCUCCCGUCCCAGGCAGUGUGGAGCCAGGGUCCCCCUCCACCUCCUCCGUAUGACUGCCUCUUAGUCAACAGCAAUGCCCACCCUGGCACCUUCCCGCCUCCUGCCGGGGGCCAGGCCAGUGCCCACCCGCCAGCCCCAACACAUCAGCAGCAGCAGCGGCGGCAUCACGGGAACUCUGGGGCUCCCCUGGAGCGUUUCCUUACUCUUUGAAGAGCAGUGGCUCCCACCAUGCGCACCUCUAUGUCAUGUCGCCGUCCUCGGGGACUCUGAGGCCCUACCCAUCCAGGCCAGCACACCUGUCCCAGCCGCAUGGCCACGUGUCCUACAGCCAGGCCAGGCCCAGCGGCCCUCUGGUCUCUUCCUCUUCCACCCGUCGUCCUCCUCCUUCUCUCAAGGGUCCUAGCCCUGCUCGCACCCCUCCUCCUCCCCCUCCCAGGGCCCCCAAGGGGCGGCCCACCCUUCCCGCUGGUGCCCAUGGUCACCACCUCCUCGGCCACCCUCUCCACGGUCAUCGCCACCAUGGCCUCCUCGCCAGCAGGCUACAAGACGGCCUCGCCGCCCAGGCCCCCGCCAUACACGAAGCGAGCCCUGUCCGCGGGGACCUACUAGACGGCCACCCCGCCUGGGUACAAGCCGGGCCCUACCUCCGUCUUCUGGACGGGGACCCCGCCGGGCUACCGAGGCGCCUCGCCGCCCGCCGGCCCAGGGACCUUCAAACUGGGCUCGCCCGCCGCGGGCGCGGGGCCGCUUCCGCCGGCGGGGCCCCUGGCCUGACCUCCCUGCCGCCGCUGCCACCCAUGGUCCUCGCCGACCCAGCCCUGAGCGCCGCGCAGAUCAAGCAGGAGCCGGCCGAGGAGUACGAGGCGCCCGAGAGCCCGGCGCCCCCGGCGCGCAACCCCUCGCCCUCUCCCAAGGCAAUGGACGCACCCAGUCACGCCAGCCAGUCGGUCAGGUUGAACAAGCACCUGGACGGCGGCUUCGACUUGUGCGCGCGCAGCGACCUGUACUUCGUGCCGCUGGAGGGCUCCAAGCUGGCCAGGAAGCGCUCUGACCUGCUGGAGAAGGUGCACCGCGAGGCGAAGCAGCACGCGCGGGAGGAGAAGGAGCGCGAGAGCGAGCGGGAGCGCAGCGUGAAGCUGGCUCAGGAGUACCGCGCUCCUGUGGAGUUUCAUCCCUGGGCCCCGUGCCCCACCACCCUCCGUUCGUGCCUGGCAAUGCGGUGAUUACGGUGCCUCCCUACCUGGGGCCUGACACCCCGGCCUUGGUUCUCGUACCCUCAGCGAGUACUCCCGGCUUCACGUUAUGUCUCCCGGCAACCGCAACCACCCCUUCUAUGUGCCCCUGGGCCCGGUGGACCCGGGGCUCCUGGGCUACAACGUCCCGGUCCUGUACAGCAGCGACCCUGCUGCCAGAGAGAGGGAGCGGGAAGCCCGGGAACUAGACCUCCGCGACCGCCUCAAGCCGGGCUUCGAGGUGAAGCCCAGCGAGCUGGAGCCCCUGCGCGGGGUCCCCGGGCGGGCCUGGAUCCCUUCCCGCGACACGGUGGCCUGGCCCCGCAGCCUGGUCAGCCCGGCCUGCACCCUUUUCCCUUACACUCGAGACUGAGGGCCCUGGAGCGAGAGCGGCUAGCGCUGGCGGCCGGGUCAGCCCUGCGUCCCGACAUGUCCUACGCGGAGCGG